Molecule: ribosomal RNA, 420 nt
Filed under: uncultured Pseudarthrobacter sp.
Lineage: Bacteria; Bacillati; Actinomycetota; Actinomycetes; Micrococcales; Micrococcaceae
Description: bacterial SSU rRNA
Rfam family: Bacterial small subunit ribosomal RNA
Source: RNAcentral
GGAAUAUUGCACAAUGGGCGCAAGCCUGAUGCAGCGACGCCGCGUGAGGGAUGACGGCCUUCGGGUUGUAAACCUCUUUCAGUAGGGAAGAAGCGAAAGUGACGGUACCUGCAGAAGAAGCGCCGGCUAACUACGUGCCAGCAGCCGCGGUAAUACGUAGGGCGCAAGCGUUAUCCGGAAUUAUUGGGCGUAAAGAGCUCGUAGGCGGUUUGUCGCGUCUGCCGUGAAAGUCCGGGGCUCAACUCCGGAUCUGCGGUGGGUACGGGCAGACUAGAGUGAUGUAGGGGAGACUGGAAUUCCUGGUGUAGCGGUGAAAUGCGCAGAUAUCAGGAGGAACACCGAUGGCGAAGGCAGGUCUCUGGGCAUUAACUGACGCUGAGGAGCGAAAGCAUGGGGAGCGAACAGGAUUAGAUACCCCUG